UGCCAGCAGCCGCGGUAAUACAGGGGGUGCAAACGUUGCUCGGAAUUAUUGGGCGUAAAGCGCGUGUAGGCGGUUUAUCAAGUUGACUGUGAAAGCCCAUGGCUCAACCUUGGAAGUGCAGUCAAAACUGAUAGACUUGAGUCCCGGAGAGGAUGGCAGAAUUCCCAGUGUAGAGGUGAAAUUCGUAGAUAUUGGGAGGAAUACCGGUGGCGAAGGCGGCCAUCUGGACGGGUACUGACGCUGAGACGCGAAAGCGUGGGGAUCAAACAGGAUUAGAUA
RNAcentral lists this ribosomal RNA (279 nucleotides) under uncultured bacterium. Its description in RNAcentral is "partial 16S ribosomal RNA". It matches the Rfam family "Bacterial small subunit ribosomal RNA", at positions 506 to 784 of the family's 1533-position model. The record is from RNAcentral.